ACAUAAGUAUACAUAUGUGUGUGUCUCGAUUAUGUUUACGUUUCUGGUUUAUAACCGCCGAAAUCGAAACCGGUACAAAAGAGUUGCGUGAAAGCCAAAAUGGGACACUAUGUUACGAAAGUGCUGUGGAAAUAAGAGUCGAUAAAUUCAUUCGCAUACAACGUGUGCAUUGUGCAUACAGUGUGUUGAGUAUUCUCUGAUAAAUCCAGAGGCGGCGCAUUGAGAAGUCGAGAACUCGUGCUUUUCUGUUGUUAGCCCGCUGAUUCAGUCUCUCAGACUCGUUAUUGAACUCUGGUGAUGUCAUCGCCGACGCCUUCUGUUCAGCUUCCAUUCCAGCAACUGGACGGUUAGCUUUCGGUGCGAAACUCCUCGGUUCUGAGAAGCAGAAAUAAAAAUUUGCUGGGAUUUGCAAGGAAAAUAAAAAAAUUCGUAACAGUCAAAAAUGUUUAUCUGAGUUCCCGAGAGGAUUUCCGCUAAUUCAAAAAAGACUAACAUUUCCUUAGUUACAUUUGAAGUUCCGGCUAUGCUAAAAAAAUGUUAUUAUCUAUUCAUAUUAUAAUAAAACAGGAAGAUGUAUACAAAUAUUUUGAUAUGUAUUUAUAUAAAUACAUAAAAUAACUUAAUAGGUUCACCAAUAUGGAUCAAUUUAGAACUUAUUGAAGAGUUAUAAUUAUGGUAUUUUAAAAUAAUUUCAAAUCCCUUGCUUCAAAAUUGAGUACGUAAACACUUUCUGGUUAGAAAUGAUAAAUAGAUACGAUUUCAUUUAUCAUAUCUGUGUAAUGUUAAACUCUUAUAAACACGAUUGCAGGUUCGCGCUCAGCGCAUUUUUGAAGUAGAGUUUUUGGGCUCAAAUGGGCUUUGAGCACUCCCACGAACACACACGUGAUAGCCUUGCCGGACAAAAACCCUGUAAACUGCGGUUAAAAUAAUAAUUAAGGAAAUGAUGUUAUACUCAUCGUAAAUUUUUGAAUACUUUGCAUUCGCAAAGGUGCCUGCAAAAACACGGGCAAUGUGAGUCACUAACGUGAAGCAACAAACCGAAAAGCGAAACGAAUUAUAAAUAUAAAAUGAUACAGCUGCGGUCAAAAUGUUAUCAACAAUGCUGAAAAAUGCCACAACAUAAAAUUUUAUAAACGGAGUAUUACCAGCAAUUAUUAUCUAUUACUCUUUUUGGCUAAUGUUGGUGAAGUAUGCUGAAGUAGGCUUAAUAGUUUGGAGUAUAAGUAAAGACCUUUUGAUUUGCCCGCACCUGUGGCCCAAACAUACUUGUACAUAAGUAGGUAAAUGAGCAGAAAGAACCAAAGCGGGGACCUACAUAAAAACUUGUUGCUCUAGAGAAAGAAGAGCGAUAAAACAAAGGCAACAGCAAUCAACUGGUUGGCAGAGCCGAAGUUUGUAGUACAUAUACGCGGUCUACACUUACAGCGAGCCGUGUUGAUAUUUAUCUGGCCCGAUCGAGUAUAUAGCCGAGUACAUAGCACACUUGACAGACAAGCCAAAUAAAUUAACAAGCCGCUUUCAGAGCUCGCCGAGAACCACUACAGCUAAAAGUGAAAAAGCUGCCGCCGCCACGCUUGAAAAACAGCAGCGACAAACAAAAUGGCAGAACAACAGUUCGCAGUUUGUCAGAAAAAUGUUGAGAAAAACCACUCGCGAUUACUGUCAGAAUGAUAAAACGUUUCUUUCCACUAUCCCAAGAAAAUUGCAUUAUUCACAUUGAAAGUUUAGUAAAGUAUAAGUUAUUGAAGUACUCCCCAGUCUGUGUGAGCGGGUUUUCCCAGUUCCUUGGCAAAAAGUGGGCUAGAACAUAUGACAAACCUGUAUUGCCAUAAUUAGCGCAACAAGUCAGUCACAGCUGCUGCGCUGGCAAAAGGGCGUGCAGUGCCGGCCAUGAGUGUAAGGCCGACUGGUAUUGAAUGACCUGCAUUCAGCUCGUCGAUAGCCGUUUCCUGUGCCACAAGGCGUGGUGCAAACAACUUCUGGAGUAAAUAUUUACUUAUCCGUUUAGCCAAAGCCAAACAGAAUAUCGAAAAUCGCACCGAAUGUUUUCCGAUGACACGUGUCAAUUGUUGAGUUUCAGCUUUUCUAAGGAAUGUACUUUAUUGGAGUGGUAUUGGGAAAGUGAUUCAGAUUCUAGGGUACGAGACUUGUACCAAAGUAAUAAUUGUAUGCAGACUAAGGUAGAGGCUGAUGAUCUGCUAUUAGCCACCAUAUAAUGUAGCUAAGAUAGUUCUUCGCUUGAAUUUUCUCUUGGGUGCACAAGGUUUUAUAUCCAGAUUUCUGUGAAACAUCAAAAAAAAUCCCUUUAAAUGCAAAAGGCUUUGAGAUAGUGUAUAUAUCUAUUCAUCAGUGUUCGAUGCAGCGUGACAUAUAUAUCCAUUGCAUGACUACGCCAAUUAAAAUGUACACUUUAAUCUUGCAUUUGAGCAUUCCCAUCACGCAUAUGUCCUGUUGCUCAUCGGCUAGCCUAAAACUGUUGUGCCCCCCACCUACCUAAGCACACUCACUUCAAGUUUACUCGUUCGAUUCGAGGAUGCAGUCAGUUUGGCGCCAAUCGAGCCAUUCACAUGGUUGGGUGUGGUUCCGCACAUUAAUAAAUAUAUAUCUAUCUUUUUAUUGCGGUACGCAAAACUCUCAA
Molecule: long non-coding RNA, 2638 nt
Organism: Drosophila sechellia
Lineage: Eukaryota; Metazoa; Arthropoda; Insecta; Diptera; Drosophilidae
Exons: 2
Source: RefSeq, a predicted model, not a curated record